GGGCGGAUAGUUUAGUGGUAUAAUACUCCCUUAGCAUGUCUUUUCCGAAGGGAAUACGAUCUGGGAGUGGUCCGGGGUUCGAUUCCCCGUUCGUCCA
RNAcentral lists this transfer RNA (97 nucleotides) under Metarhizium album ARSEF 1941. It matches the Rfam family "tRNA". Rfam says of the family: Transfer RNA (tRNA) molecules are approximately 80 nucleotides in length. Their secondary structure includes four short double-helical elements and three loops (D, anti-codon, and T loops). Lineage: Eukaryota; Fungi; Ascomycota; Sordariomycetes; Hypocreales; Clavicipitaceae. The record is from Rfam by way of RNAcentral.